RNAcentral lists this ribosomal RNA (331 nucleotides) under uncultured bacterium. Its description in RNAcentral is "partial 16S ribosomal RNA". It matches the Rfam family "Bacterial small subunit ribosomal RNA", at positions 338 to 666 of the family's 1533-position model. The record is from RNAcentral.
CCUACGGGAGGCAGCAGUGAGGAAUCUUGGUCAAUGGGCGCGAGCCUGAACCAGCCAAGUCGCGUGAGGGAUGACGGUCCUACGGAUUGUAAACCUCUUUUGCCGGGGAGCAAGCGUGCGUUCGUGAACGCGCGUCGAGAGUACCCGGAGUAAAAGCAUCGGCCAAAUCCGUGCCAGCAGCCGCGGGAAUACGGGGGAUGCGAGCGUUAUCCCGAUUUAUUGGGUUUAAAGGGUGCGUAGGCGGGAUGCCAAGUCAGCGGUAAAAAGGCGGUGCUCAAAGCCGUCGAGCCGUUGAAACUGGCGUUAUUGGGUGGGCGAGAAGUAUACGGAA